This 353-nucleotide ribosomal RNA is filed under the name uncultured Hydrogenophaga sp. RNAcentral's name for it is "bacterial SSU rRNA". It matches the Rfam family "Bacterial small subunit ribosomal RNA", at positions 1027 to 1382 of the family's 1533-position model. The record is from RNAcentral. Lineage: Bacteria; Pseudomonadati; Pseudomonadota; Betaproteobacteria; Burkholderiales; Comamonadaceae.
CCAUAACACAGGUGCUGCAUGGCUGUCGUCAGCUCGUGUCGUGAGAUGUUGAGUUAAGUCCCGCAACGAGCGCAACCCUUGUCAUUAGUUGCUACAUUUGGUUGGGCACUCUAAUGAGACUGCCGGUGACAAACCGGAGGAAGGUGGGGAUGACGUCAAGUCCUCAUGGCCCUUAUAGGUGGGGCUACACACGUCAUACAAUGGCCGGUACAAAGGGUCGCAAACCCGCGAGGGGGAGCCAAUCCAUCAAAGCCGGUCGUAGUCCGGAUCGCAGUCUGCAACUCGACUGCGUGAAGUCGGAAUCGCUAGUAAUCGUGGAUCAGCAUGUCACGGUGAAUACGUUCCCGGGUCUU